GGGGGGGGGGGGGGGGGGGGGGGGGGGGGGCGGGGGGGGGGGGGGGGCGGGGGGGGUGCGGCGCGGGGGUUGGCGGCGGGCGGGUGGGGGGCGGGUGGGUGCGCUGCCUGGCGGCCUGUGAUCACUUCGGGGAACCGUAGCUCAUGCCGGCUCCUCUGGUGCACCGCAUUGUGCACUAGUGAACGACUGUUUUGCUGUCCCUUAUCGCUGACUCCGCGCCGCAUUAGCUAGUUGGUAAGGUAACGGCUUACCAAGGCAACGAUGCGUAGCCGACCGGAGAGGGUGAUCGGCCACACUGGAACUGAGACACGGUCCAGACUCCUACGGGAGGCAGCAGUAGGGAAUCUUCCGCAAUGGGCGAAAGCCUGACGGAGCAACGCCGCGUGAGUGAUGAAGGUCUUCGGAUCGUAAAACUCUGUUAUUAGGGAAGAACAAAUGUGUAAGUAACUAUGCACGUCUUGACGGUACCUAAUCAGAAAGCCACGGCUAACUACGUG
RNAcentral lists this ribosomal RNA (497 nucleotides) under uncultured bacterium. RNAcentral's name for it is "partial 16S ribosomal RNA". It matches the Rfam family "Bacterial small subunit ribosomal RNA", at positions 38 to 507 of the family's 1533-position model. The record is from RNAcentral.